This 378-nucleotide ribosomal RNA is filed under the name uncultured bacterium. RNAcentral describes it as "bacterial SSU rRNA". It matches the Rfam family "Bacterial small subunit ribosomal RNA", at positions 524 to 898 of the family's 1533-position model. The record is from RNAcentral.
GACGUAGGGGGCGAGCGUUGUCCGGAUUUAUUGGGCGUAAAGAGCUCGUAGGCGGCUCAGCAAGUCAGGUGUGAAACCUCCAGGCUUAACCUGGAGACGCCACCUGAUACUGCUGUGGCUGGAGUCCGGUAGGGGAGCAGGGAAUAUCCGGUGUAGCGGUGAAAUGCUUAGAUAUCGGGUGGAACACCAGUGGCGAAGGCGCUGCUCUGGGCCGGUACUGACGCUGAGGAGCGAAAGCGUGGGUAGCAAACAGGAUUAGAUACCCUGGUAGUCCACGCCGUAAACGUUGGGCACUAGGUGUGGGACCCUAUCGACGGGAUCCGUGCCGUAGCUAACGCAUUAAGUGCCCCGCCUGGGGAGUACGGCCGCAAGGCUAAA